Molecule: non-coding RNA, 150 nt
Organism: Caenorhabditis elegans
Lineage: Eukaryota; Metazoa; Nematoda; Chromadorea; Rhabditida; Rhabditidae
Source: Ensembl
UUUAUAUAUGUAUGUAAUGAAGUGGGCCGUAAUAACCCAAAAUAACCGCGAGAAAAAUUAGAAAUUUUUUUUUGGAUAAUUGAAACAAAAAUCAAUAAAUUUUUUUACAGUUUAAAUUUUUUUAGAAAGUUAAAAAAAAUUGAACAAAAU